UUCGGGGUAGACGAAUAGGUAAAGUCAUGAUUCUUUGGAUAUCAAUUUUGGGUGUUCGAGUCACCCUCCCGAAG
RNAcentral lists this transfer RNA (74 nucleotides) under Phyllosticta yuccae. RNAcentral's name for it is "tRNA-Gln". The record is from RNAcentral. Lineage: Eukaryota; Fungi; Ascomycota; Dothideomycetes; Botryosphaeriales; Phyllostictaceae.